Long non-coding RNA from Rhineura floridana, 2493 nucleotides. RefSeq lists it as uncharacterized. The record is from RefSeq and is a predicted model, not a curated record. The transcript is spliced from 4 exons. Lineage: Eukaryota; Metazoa; Chordata; Lepidosauria; Squamata; Rhineuridae.
UUGUGAAAACACGGCUUUGCUUUCACAUCUCUGGGCCACUCAUAGGAACGUCAGAAGCUGCCUUUUACUGAGCCAGACCAUUGAUCCUUCUAGCACACCAUUGUCCACACUGACAGACUCUCCUAUCUCUACCCGGAGAUUAACCCUGGAACCUUCUGCAUGCAAGUACCACUAAGCUACAGCCCUUUCCCAUACCACCACAGGAAGCUGCUUCAUACCAAGUCGGACCCUUCAUCCUUCUAGCACGCCAUUGUCCACACUGACAGGCAGCAGCUCUUCAGGAUUUUAGACGGGGAACUCUCCCAACCCGACCUGCAGAUCCUGAGGAUGGAGCCUGGCACCCUUCGGCAUGCCAAGCGGACUUUCCACACUGUUGCGUUACCAACCUAUAGCUGUUGCUAGCUACCCUCCGCUCUCUGUAAAGCAGGAGCGGAGGAACUUUUUUUCUGUCAAGGGCCGCAUUCCAUCAGGGUAAUCUUUUGGCGUCGACAUGCUGGCUGGGGAUAGAGCCAGUGAUUGGUAGAGCCAGAAACAAAAGUCAUCUGGCUGGACUAAUCUGGAAUAAAGGACCUAUCUCAGCUGCGGUUCUACCCGGGGACGGGGCUUCGCCAGGUGCCCAAGGACAGCAAGGCAAUCCAGACCCUUUGCAGUGCUCAAGGGCUCUGUGGCAGCAGAAAGCACAUGGAAUUUCCACACCAUUGGUUCCAGUUCUGCUCUCUGAAGCAAAAGAAAACAAGUGUUAUCCAUCUUCUGUACCACAGCCUUUUGGAAAUUUGAAUACAUCGAUCAUAUCUCCCUUUAAAUCUUCUCCAGGCUAGAGGAAAUGGCGAGGCAUAGCCCGGCGACGAGCUAACCAAGCGAGCCUGUUUGUUCCUGUUGCCAACGUUCCUUUGGUUUGGUUUGUGUGAGUGAUGGCGAUGCACCGGCAUUUCAGUUUCGCUCUUCCUCCUUUCCACCACACUGUGCUACGGCCCAAGGAUUAGGCUGGGAUGGAUUGCAGCUACCAGCGGGUUGAGCUCUUGAACUUGAUGGCCAAGAAAAGGAAAACAAAAAAAUUAUAUAUCCUUAAGUGUGGGAUUAAAGCAUAAAGCUUAAGGGAGCUUGAAAACUCAAAAGCAAGGGUUUGGAACCAAAAAACGAAACCGAGCUGUUGCGUAAUGACAAAGACGGGACUCUGUGACCACAUCCACAACUUAUGUUUAAAGCACUACAAUACUACUGUAACAGUCUGGGCUUCCUCCCCAAGAAUCCUGGGAACUGUAGUUUAUGGCCACUGAGGCUUCUUAUGAGACCCUGAUUCCCUUCACAGAACUAUAAUGCAGAGAGGUUUAAAAUCAACCCCUUUCCCCAGGGAACUCUGAGAAUUGUAGCUCUAUGAGAGGAAUAGGGGCCUCCUAACAACUCUCAGUACCCUUAAAGAACGAUAGUUCCCAGGAUUCUUUGGGAGAAGCCAUGACUGUUUUAAGUGAUAUCAUAGUAUGGGGCCUGGGUGUUGAAUGCAUGGUCUGUAUGCAGGGCCAGCCCCGGCAUCAGGCAGAGUGAUGCAGCCAUCUCAGGCAGCCGAAGUUGGGAAGGCAUGAAACAGCGAUGAGGUGAUGGAGAACAGAACUGGGUUUACUGCUGUAGCCGUUAAGAUAGCCUACUGCCCACAGAUGCGGUGGAAGAUGCUGUUAGGUCACCAGAGCUGAAGUAAGAUUCAAGUACCGGUUCGGAUGGUUUCAGUUCUUAGAACAAUAUGUGUGUAUGUGUGUCAUUUUGUCCUUCACCUCAGCAAAAAUGUCUUGGACCAUCUCUCUCUCUCUCUCUGUGUGUGAUGCGACUGCGAGAUGUACAUGUGAGCAUGCACAUGACGGACAGGAUGGGGUGCUGCCACAUCCACAUGCCUUUUACCAAACCUACCACUGGCAUACAGCCCUCAGAAGGUUGGCCAAGAAGGAAUGAGCUCUCAGGCCGAAAAAGGCUCCUCAUCAUCCCUGCCAUAAACGAUAUAGCCCAGAAGAUGGUCUUGAAGAGAAUAGGGCGGCGAAAAAGUCUUAUUUUUCUGCCACUAUUAGAUCAUCUCUUUGCCGCCCAGCGGAGCUAUUUAAGGUGGUACGAGGGCUUUUACAUUCUGGCCCUCCUGAUACUAAGGAAACAUCGGAAGCCCGCUGCAACGAAUUUGCGGAGCACUUCCAGGACAAGAUUGAAUGCAUCCGUCGGGACUUGGACUCUGAUGUUAUGACAGUUGAAUCCAUUGAAGUGUCCAGAGUGCGGCCUUGUCCUUUAUUAUUGGAUGAGUUUCAGUUGGUGCAGCUCGAGGAAGUGGACAAGGUGCUUGGAAUGGUGCGGGCGGCUAUGUCUGCCCUUGAUCCUUGCCCAUCUUGGCUGGUGAAGGCUGGCAGGGCUGUAACCACUGGCUGGGCCAAAGAGGUGAUAAAUGCUUCCUUGAGAGAGGGAGUAGUCCCUGGCAGUCUCAAGGAGGCAGUAGUGAGACCUCUUUUAAAGAAACCUUAU